CCCGCAGGCUGUCCCACCUCUCGCUGCGCAAUAAUGGCCUCGGUGACGAGGCGGCGCGGCUGCUGGGGCUGAGCCUCUCCACCCUCGGCUCCUCCAACCGCAGCCUGGUCUCGCUGGUGCUCAGCUUCAACCACAUCUCGGAUUUGGGAGCGGGGCACAUCGCCCAGGUGGGGGCUAUGGGGUGGGCGAGGGGGGGCCCCGCUGUCUGUGUGCCCCCCCCCCUUCCCCUCUCAGCUUUUUCUGUGCGCCCCCCAUCCCCAAGGGUUUGCGCUGGAACCGCUCGCUGCUGUCGCUGUCCCUGGCGCACAAUGACAUUGGGGAUGAGGGGGCUCUGCGGCUGGCUCAGGUGGGUUUGGGCCCCCCCGGGUCCGUGUAGGGGAGCGGGAUGGGGUCGGAGCGGGAUGGGAUCAGAGCGGGAUGGGGCUGGGAGUGUGAUGGGGUCGGAGCAAGUUGGGGCCGGAGCAGGUUGGGCUCGGAGCGGGAUGGGGUCGGAGCAGGACAGGGUUGGAGAGGGAUGAGGCUGGAGUGGGAUGGGGUCGGAGAUGGAUGGGGCCAGAGCGGGAUGGAGCUGGAGUGGGAUGGGGUUGGAGUAGGAUGGGGUUGGAGUAGGAUGAGAUCAGAGCAGGAUGGGGUCAGAGUGGGACAGGGUUGGAGAGGGAUAGGGUUGGAGUGGAAUGGGGUCAGAGCAGGAUGGGGCUGGGAGCGGGAUGGGGCCGGAGCAGGAUGGGGAUGGAGCAGGAUCAGAUCAGGGGAGAACGGGAUCAGAGCAGGAUGGGGAUGGAGAGGGAUGGGGUUGGAGUGGAUUGGGGUCAGAGCAGGAUGCGGUUGGAGCAGGACAGGGCCAGAGCGGUAUGGGGUUGGAGCGGGAUGGGAUCAGAGCAGGAUGGGGUCGGAGCAUGACAGGGCUGGAGAUGGAUGGGGUCGGAGUGGGAUGGGAUCAGAGCAGGAUGGGGCUGGGAAGGGGAUGGGGUCAGAGCAGAAUGGGGUCGGAGCAGGAUGGGGUUGGAGCGGGUUGCACUCGGAGUGGGAUGGGGUCAGAAUGGGAUGGGGUUGGAGAGGGAUGGAGCCAGAGCGGGUUGGGGGCAGAGCAGGACAGGGCUGGAGUGGGAUGGGGCUGGAGGAGAGCAGGACGGGAUCGGAGCAGGACGGGGCCGGCCCCAUAACCACAUCCCCGACCCCGCUGGUGCCAGGUGCUGGCUCCUUUCGCUCUGACGCACGCCGAGGUGGUGGAACGGCGGCGGCUGCUGCUGGCGGAGGCCAUGGAGAAGCCCCAGGCGCCCGAGGGCAGGAGCGAGCGCGCCCCGAGCCUGCAGAGCGGCGCGGCCACCGAGAGGCUGCUCCCGGCCAAGCACAGCAAGAGCACGGCCAAAAAGAAGGUGAGGAGGUGGGGGGGGGGGGGGGUUUGGGGGGCCAAAGGGAGAAAAAAAAAAAAAAAAAGGGUUUUGUGUGUGUGGGGGGGGGGGGGGGGGGGGCUGUGGCCGUGCCUCAGUUUCCCCCAAACACGAGGCGGGGGUCCCCAAAGUGCUGCCCACGGGGUGCUGUCCCUCGCAGGAGCUGCCGCGGAAGGACGAGCUGAAACAGCCCAAAAAAUGUGAGUGAGGGGCUGGGGGGGGGGCACGGGGGGGGGCGGUGCCUGGCGCAGCCCCCCCCCCCUCGGCCCCCCCCCCCCAGCUGUGACAGCCCCUGCAGACCCCCGGCCCCCCCGAAGCCGCAGUGCCAAAGCCACCAGCAAGGAGAAGCGCAGCUCGGAGGCGAGUGGGGUGAGGAGGGGGGGGGCUGGGGGACACGGCCCUAUUUUUUGGGCCCCCCCCUCACCCUCAGCACCCCCCCAUCGCCCCCUCCCCAGGCGCAGGAUGCGGCCGAGCCCUCGCACCCGCUGCUGGAGCCGGCGUGGCACCGCCAGGGCCAGGUCGUGGUGCCGGGGAACCGAGCGCUGCUCAACCUCAACCUGUGCCGUGAGUGUUGGGGGGGGGGGGUCCGGGGGGGUCCCAUUCCCACCGUUAUGCCCAAUUUGUGCCCCCCCCCCUUGCAGAUAACCGCAUCACGGAGCGGGGGCUGGCUGCUUUCCUGGCUGUGCUGCAGGAGGAGCAGCCGGGGGGGGGGCACGGGGAGGCCGGGGCUGCUGCGCCUCUCGCUGCAGGUGAGCUGGGGGGGG
RNAcentral lists this long non-coding RNA (2155 nucleotides) under Anas platyrhynchos platyrhynchos (common mallard). RNAcentral's name for it is "lncRNA (ENSAPLG00000023169.1)". The record is from RNAcentral. Lineage: Eukaryota; Metazoa; Chordata; Aves; Anseriformes; Anatidae.